Molecule: unclassified non-coding RNA, 332 nt
Filed under: soil metagenome
Description: partial contains 5.8S ribosomal RNA, internal transcribed spacer 2, and large subunit ribosomal RNA
Rfam family: 5.8S ribosomal RNA (bases 1-120)
Source: RNAcentral
GAUGAAGAACGUAGCGAAAUGCGAUACGUAAUGUGAAUUGCAGAUUUCAGUGAAUCAUCGAAUCUUUGAACGCACAUUGCGCCUGCUAGUACUCUGGCGGGCAUGCCUGUUCGAGCGUCAUUUCAACCAUCAAGCCCUAGGCUUGCGUUGGAGCCCUGCGGCUGCCGCAGGCUCCCAAAUCCAGUGGCGGGCUCGUCGUCGUACCGAGUGCAGUAAACAUCCUCGCUCAGGGAACGUGACGGGUUCUUGCCGUGAAACCCCCCACAUAUCAAGGUUGACCUCGGAUCAGGUAGGAAUACCCGCUGAACUUAAGCAUAUCAAUAAGCGGAGGA